Molecule: ribosomal RNA, 465 nt
Filed under: uncultured bacterium
Lineage: Bacteria
Description: partial 16S ribosomal RNA
Rfam family: Bacterial small subunit ribosomal RNA
Source: RNAcentral
GACGAACGCUGGCGGCGUGCUUAACACAUGCAAGUCGAACGGAAAGGCCCUGCUUGCAGGGUACUCGAGUGGCGAACGGGUGAGUAACACGUGGGUGAUCUGCCCUGCACUUCGGGAUAAGCCUGGGAAACUGGGUCUAAUACCGGAUAUGACCUUCCAUGUAGUGUGGGGGGUGGAAAGAUUUAUCGGUGUGGGAUGAGCCCGCGGCCUAUCAGCUUGUUGGUGGGGUAAUGGCCUACCAAGGCGUCGACGGGUAGCCGGCCUGAGAGGGUGGACGGCCACAUUGGGACUGAGAUACGGCCCAGACUCCUACGGGAGGCAGCAGUGGGGAAUAUUGCACAAUGGGCGGAAGCCUGAUGCAGCGACGCCGCGUGGGGGAUGACGGCCUUCGGGUUGUAAACCUCUUUCGACAGGGACGAAGCUUCGGUGACGGUACCUGUAUAAGAGGCACCGGCUAACUACGUG